CCUACGGGAGGCAGCAGUGGGGAAUAUUGCACAAUGGGCGCAAGCCUGAUGCAGCGACGCCGCGUGAGGGAUGACGGCCUUCGGGUUGUAAACCUCUUUCAGUACCGACGAAGCGCAAGUGACGGUAGGUACAGAAGAAGCACCGGCCAACUACGUGCCAGCAGCCGCGGUAAUACGUAGGGUGCGAGCGUUGUCCGGAAUUACUGGGCGUAAAGAGCUCGUAGGCGGUUUGUCGCGUCGUCUGUGAAAACCCGCAGCUCAACUGCGGGCUUGCAGGCGAUACGGGCAGACUUGAGUACUGCAGGGGAGACUGGAAUUCCUGGUGUAGCGGUGAAAUGCGCAGAUACAGGAGGAACACCGGUGGCGAAGGCGGGUCUCUGGGCAGUAACUGACGCUGAGGAGCGAAAGCGUGGGUAGCGAACAGAUUAGAUACCCUGGUAGUCCACGCCGUAAACGGUGGGCGCUAGUGUGGGUUUCCCUUCCACGGGGACCGUGCCUACCUAACGUCUUUCCACCGCCCCCCCCGGGCCCUGGGGGACCCCACGCCGCUAU
RNAcentral lists this ribosomal RNA (552 nucleotides) under Rhodococcus sp. KNF16. RNAcentral describes it as "bacterial SSU rRNA". It matches the Rfam family "Bacterial small subunit ribosomal RNA", at positions 338 to 873 of the family's 1533-position model. Lineage: Bacteria; Bacillati; Actinomycetota; Actinomycetes; Mycobacteriales; Nocardiaceae. The record is from RNAcentral.